UAUAUUAAUAGUCCAUAUAAUAGGAAAUUCAGGAGGACAGAUGAAUGAUUUAGUUAUUAAAAGCAGUUAAUUAUAUAAUUAUGGUUAAAAUCUGGAGAAUCAGGGAAAAUAUAUAGGAGUUGUAGAAGUUAAUUAAGGUACCAUCGCUGUGAUAGUGUGAGCCAGGGUAAGCUUGGUACUACCUCUUUUCUUUUGUUUGUUAUUUUUUUUAAAUAAGACGAUUGAGAGUUUCUAAAUAUUGUGAAGUGAAUUAUGGAAUGGAAAUGUGAUUGGUAUUAUUUGAGAAGAAGAAAGAUUGAAUGCUGAAAUCUGAUUGUAGUUCAACAAAGAGAAUGAGUCUGUGUUUGUGUGAAAUACUGUAAUGUGAAUGGCAGUUCUGUGUGAAGAAUUCCAAUGAUUGGAACGAGGGUCAUUGUGUGAUGAAAGUUGUGAGGGCAUAGUAUUACAGUUGGAGAUUAUGAGGGUGAAUAUAUUGGUGGAAAUAGUAGUUAUUUGUAUGAGUGAAUUGUUGUAAGGAAGAGAUCGAUAAAAUGAAGGAAGAGAUUAUAGUUUCGUUGUGUGUUCAGAUAU
RNAcentral lists this long non-coding RNA (570 nucleotides) under Physcomitrium patens. Its description in RNAcentral is "long non-coding RNA (PPAT_LNC009159)". Lineage: Eukaryota; Viridiplantae; Streptophyta; Bryopsida; Funariales; Funariaceae. The record is from RNAcentral.